RNAcentral lists this ribosomal RNA (1371 nucleotides) under uncultured bacterium. RNAcentral's name for it is "bacterial SSU rRNA". It matches the Rfam family "Bacterial small subunit ribosomal RNA", at positions 28 to 1381 of the family's 1533-position model. The record is from RNAcentral.
GAUGAACGCUGGCGGCGUGCCUAAUACAUGCAAGUCGAGCGAACGGACGAGAAGCUUGCUUCUCUGAUGUUAGCGGCGGACGGGUGAGUAACACGUGGAUAACCUACCUAUAAGACUGGGAUAACUUCGGGAAACCGGAGCUAAUACCGGAUAAUAUUUUGAACCGCAUGGUUCAAAAGUGAAAGACGGUCUUGCUGUCACUUAUAGAUGGAUCCGCGCUGCAUUAGCUAGUUGGUAAGGUAACGGCUUACCAAGGCAACGAUGCAUAGCCGACCUGAGAGGGUGAUCGGCCACACUGGAACUGAGACACGGUCCAGACUCCUACGGGAGGCAGCAGUAGGGAAUCUUCCGCAAUGGGCGAAGGCCUGACGGAGCAACGCCGCGUGAGUGAUGAAGGUCUUCGAAUCGUAAAACUCUGUUAUUAGGGAAGAACAUAUGUGUAAGUAACUGUGCACAUCUUGACGGUACCUAAUCAGAAAGCCACGGCUAACUACGUGCCAGCAGCCGCGGUAAUACGUAGGUGGCAAGCGUUAUCCGGAAUUAUUGGGCGUAAAGCGCGCGUAGGCGGUUUUUUAGUCUGAUGUGAAAGCCCACGGCUCAACCGUGGAGGGUCAUUGGAAACUGGAAAACUUGAGUGCAGAAGAGGAAAGUGGAAUUCCAUGUGUAGCGGUGAAAUGCGCAGAGAUAUGGAGGAACACCAGUGGCGAAGGCGACUUUCUGGUCUGUAACUGACGCUGAUGUGCGAAAGCGUGGGGAUCAAACAGGAUUAGAUACCCUGGUAGUCCACGCCGUAAACGAUGAGUGCUAAGUGUUAGGGGGUUUCCGCCCCUUAGUGCUGCAGCUAACGCAUUAAGCACUCCGCCUGGGGAGUACGACCGCAAGGUUGAAACUCAAAGGAAUUGACGGGGACCCGCACAAGCGGUGGAGCAUGUGGUUUAAUUCGAAGCAACGCGAAGAACCUUACCAAAUCUUGACAUCCUUUGACAACUCUAGAGAUAGAGCCUUCCCCUUCGGGGGACAAAGUGACAGGUGGUGCAUGGUUGUCGUCAGCUCGUGUCGUGAGAUGUUGGGUUAAGUCCCGCAACGAGCGCAACCCUUAAGCUUAGUUGCCAUCAUUAAGUUGGGCACUCUAAGUUGACUGCCGGUGACAAACCGGAGGAAGGUGGGGAUGACGUCAAAUCAUCAUGCCCCUUAUGAUUUGGGCUACACACGUGCUACAAUGGACAAUACAAAGGGCAGCGAAACCGCGAGGUCAAGCAAAUCCCAUAAAGUUGUUCUCAGUUCGGAUUGUAGUCUGCAACUCGACUACAUGAAGCUGGAAUCGCUAGUAAUCGUAGAUCAGCAUGCUACGGUGAAUACGUUCCCGGGUCU